This 451-nucleotide ribosomal RNA is filed under the name uncultured bacterium. Its description in RNAcentral is "partial 16S ribosomal RNA". It matches the Rfam family "Bacterial small subunit ribosomal RNA", at positions 354 to 796 of the family's 1533-position model. The record is from RNAcentral.
GUGGGGAAUAUUGGACAAUGGGGGGAACCCUGAUCCAGCCAUGCCGCGUGUGUGAAGAAGGCCUUUUGGUUGUAAAGCACUUUAAGCGAGGAGGAGGCUACCGAGAUUAAUACUCUUGGAUAGUGGACGUUACUCGCAGAAUAAGCACCGGCUAACUCUGUGCCAGCAGCCGCGGUAAUACAGAGGGUGCAAGCGUUAAUCGGAUUUACUGGGCGUAAAGCGCGCGUAGGUGGCCAAUUAAGUCAAAUGUGAAAUCCCCGAGCUUAACUUGGGAAUUGCAUUCGAUACUUGUUGGCUAGAGUAUGGGAGAGGAUGGUAGAAUUCCAGGUGUAGCGGUGAAAUGCGUAGAGAUCUGGAGGAAUACCGAUGGCGAAGGCAGCCAUCUGGCCUAAUACUGACACUGAGGUGCGAAAGCAUGGGGAGCAAACAGGAUUAGAAACCCCGGUAGUCC